CAUGCCGUAAACGAUGAGUGCUAAGUGUUGGAGGGUUUCCGCCCUUCAGUGCUGCAGCUAACGCAUUAAGCACUCCGCCUGGGGAGUACGACCGCAAGGUUGAAACUCAAAGGAAUUGACGGGGGCCCGCACAAGCGGUGGAGCAUGUGGUUUAAUUCGAUGCUACGCGAAGAACCUUACCAGGUCUUGACAUCUUCUGCCAACCUAAGAGAUUAGGCGUUCCCUUCGGGGACAGAAUGACAGGUGG
Molecule: ribosomal RNA, 247 nt
Filed under: uncultured bacterium
Lineage: Bacteria
Also listed under: 1 other name
Description: partial 16S ribosomal RNA
Rfam family: Bacterial small subunit ribosomal RNA
Source: RNAcentral